This is a long non-coding RNA of Brachypodium distachyon (stiff brome), 787 nucleotides long. RefSeq lists it as uncharacterized. Lineage: Eukaryota; Viridiplantae; Streptophyta; Magnoliopsida; Poales; Poaceae. The transcript is spliced from 4 exons. The record is from RefSeq and is a predicted model, not a curated record.
ACUAAUGCCGGACCGUUAUCUCGUUUCUUCCGUCCUCAACCAACGCAGAUUUUAGUUUUGCCGAGAGAGUUAUCAUCUGCUAACGAACUAACAGGCCGUUCUGAUCCAUCCGUGUUCUGAUCUUUUUUCUUUCGAGGAAGUCCAUCUCUCUCUCUCUCUCUCAUACAACCGGCACCAAGGUGGUAGACAUCUCAGGAGAUUGGUUCAACCUGCGGAAGGGAGAAUACUCCAUGAUUUGCCAUCGCUUUGCUGCUCGGCCGCAUCAGAUUAAAUCUGAUCUCGCUUGCCUCUUUGCAUGGUGAGCAGCAUAUGAUAUUCACAGGAGGGUGGAAGCAGCUCCGAAUAAGUUUUCAAAAGGUUAAAGAUCCUUUCUGGAGCUCGCACAAAAAAGCACGGCAUCAACUCCCACAAAUAUCCCAGCUACUGAUAACAGGAUGUACUCUGCUUUCCAUGUUCACUUCAUGAAGAAUUAGAACGGAAAUCGCUUGGUAAAGCAAGCUUGCAAUGAUUCGCGAGAAUUAAUCAUCUGUCAUUCGGGAAUAAUGAAGCAAUGUUGUCACGCGCUACCUCCAAGAGUGCUCAGGAGAAAUUGGCCGGACCGUCUUACAGCCAAGCGGAAGCAUCCACCAGCUACAGGGGCUUUCAUAGUAUAUUACCAUGUUUCAGCUUAGGGCUACAAUAAAUAAACUUCCAUUUGAUUUCAACGUGUAAUAAAUAAUGUAAUGCCAGAUGUAGGGUUCAAUCCCACACUAGCUAGUGAAAGAUAUGCCCUCGUUCAUAAUUUUAA